Molecule: long non-coding RNA, 388 nt
Filed under: Mustela putorius furo (domestic ferret)
Lineage: Eukaryota; Metazoa; Chordata; Mammalia; Carnivora; Mustelidae
Description: lncRNA (ENSMPUG00000028158.1)
Source: RNAcentral
GGCAGAUAGAUUAAUUGUUUAAAAGUGAUUCUAUUUGUUUCUAGCUGGGAGGAAUACUUUUCCUGUGGGCAAGGAAUGUUUUAUAUUUGGUUAUAGUGUCAUAGUUGCCUACUGUAAUUGUGCUGAGAGACAGGUACUGUAAAUAUGACUUUUACUAGAUGUUUGACUUCUGCCUUUUCCAGGUCUUUGGUUCUGGCUGAACCUCCAGUAUUUGUGUUGUGGUUGGUCUGACUUAAGACCAUGACAGGAGGACUGUUCCCCUUGGCAGCAGGGCCUGUGAGAGGCCUGGGGGGCUCCAGGAGUUCAGUGAGCUGUGUCACUCUGAUCUUUUUCAUACUGGAUUCUGUGGUUUGACUCAGCAAAGAUGGUGCAGGAAAGAGAAAGGGCU